CAGUCGCCGCGGGAAUACGUAGGUGGCAAGCGUUGUCCGGAAUUACUGGGCGUAAAGGGCUCGCAGGCGGUUUCUUAAGUCUGAUGUGAAAGCCCCCGGCUCAACCGGGGAGGGUCAUUGGAAACUGGGAAACUUGAGUGCAGAAGAGGAGAGUGGAAUUCCACGUGUAGCGGUGAAAUGCGUAGAGAUGUGGAGGGACACCAGUGGCGAAGGCGACUCUCUGGUCUGUAACUGACGCUGAGGAGCGAAAGCGUGGGGAGCGAACAGGAUUAGAUACCCGGGUAGUCCCUGUCUCUUAUAA
RNAcentral lists this ribosomal RNA (301 nucleotides) under uncultured bacterium. RNAcentral's name for it is "partial 16S ribosomal RNA". It matches the Rfam family "Bacterial small subunit ribosomal RNA", at positions 509 to 809 of the family's 1533-position model. The record is from RNAcentral.